This 292-nucleotide ribosomal RNA is filed under the name uncultured Bacteroidota bacterium. RNAcentral's name for it is "uncultured Bacteroidetes bacterium partial 16S ribosomal RNA". Lineage: Bacteria; Pseudomonadati; Bacteroidota. The record is from RNAcentral.
GGACUACUGGGGUUUCUAAUCCUGUUUGAUCCCCACGCUUUCGUGCCUCAGCGUCAAUAACCGUGUAGCGAGCUGCCUUCGCAAUCGGUGUUCUAUGUCAUAUCUAAGCAUUUCACCGCUACAUGACAUAUUCCGCUCACCUCCACGGCAUUCAAGACAGAUAGUAUCAACGGCAGUUUCCGGGUUAAGCCCGGAGAUUUCACCACUGACUUACCUGCCCGCCUACGCACCCUUUAAACCCAGUGAAUCCGGAUAACGCUUGCACCCUCCGUAUUACCGCGGCUGCUGGCAC